GUAUGCUUAAGGGUGGCGCAAUCGGCUAGCGCGUUCGGUUGUUAACCGAAAGGUUGGUGGUUCGAGCUCACUAGGGGACG
Non-coding RNA from Araneus ventricosus, 80 nucleotides. The record is from the annotation of a GenBank genome assembly. NCBI's taxonomy places the organism in Eukaryota, Metazoa, Arthropoda, Arachnida, Araneae, Araneidae.